UCAGUAACACGUGGCCAAACUACCCUGUGGAUGGGAACAAUCUCGGGAAACUGAGGCUAAUUCCCAAUAACGCUCCGCCCCUGGAACGGGCGGAGCUGGAAACGCUACGGCGCCACAGGAUGUGGCUGCGGUCGAUUAGGUAGACGGUGGGGUAACGGCCCACCGUGCCAAUAAUCGGUACGGGUUGUGAGAGCAAGAGCCCGGAGACGGAAUCUGAGACAAGAUUCCGGGCCCUACGGGGCGCAGCAGGCGCGAAACCUUUACACUGUACGCAAGUGCGAUAAGGGGACUCCGAGUGUGAAGGCAUAGAGCCUUCACUUUUGUACACCGUAAGGUGGUGUACGAAUAAGGGCUGGGCAAGACCGGUGCCAGCCGCCGCGGUAAUACCGGCAGCCCGAGUGAUGGCCGAUAUUAUUGGGCCUAAAGCGUCCGUAGCUGGCCGGACAAGUCCGUUGGGAAAUCUGUUCGCUUAACGAGCAGGCGUCCAGCGGAAACUGUUCGGCUUGGGACCGGAAGACCUGAGGGGUACGUCCGGGGUAGGAGUGAAAUCCUGUAAUCCUG
This 561-nucleotide ribosomal RNA is filed under the name Halobacterium noricense. RNAcentral describes it as "bacterial SSU rRNA". It matches the Rfam family "Archaeal small subunit ribosomal RNA", at positions 90 to 650 of the family's 1478-position model. The record is from RNAcentral. Lineage: Archaea; Methanobacteriati; Methanobacteriota; Halobacteria; Halobacteriales; Halobacteriaceae.